RNAcentral lists this long non-coding RNA (722 nucleotides) under Medicago truncatula (barrel medic). Its description in RNAcentral is "long non-coding RNA (MTRU_LNC003186)". The record is from RNAcentral. Lineage: Eukaryota; Viridiplantae; Streptophyta; Magnoliopsida; Fabales; Fabaceae.
UCGGAGGGCCUACCCCCUUCCCCAAUCUAGAUUCAAUGAUAUUCCUUAAAACAUCGUCUUCACGUAGGAAGUCGGAGGGCCUACCUCCUUCCCCAAUCUAGUUUCAACAAUGCUUUUUAAAGUUUUUCUCAAGAUAACAAUCACCUUCACGUAGGAAGUCGGAGGGCCUACCUCCUUCCCCAAUCUAGAUUCAGUGAUGAGAUCUUGGAAUUAUUUGGCUUUUUGGCUUUUUUUUAUGAUCUCCCUUAUACUCACUUAUACUACUGGCGCUUUGAGAAUUUUUAAAGGUUAAUGCACCACUAAGAUUAGAACGCGUUUCCUUAAAAUACCUAUUCAUACAUUUACUCAAGGGAAGCAACUUUGUGUUUUUCUCAUUGGAGAAUUUUAUUCACUUUAAAACAAGAUGUGGGUAUAUCAAGAAGACUUAAAACACAAGAGUUUGCUUUCAUGUACAAGAAUCAACCAAAUAAGAGGAGACAAUGAAAAUUUUGUGUCAUGAUAUUUUCAAUAAAAAUUAGCUACUUAACCAUGCCUUUUACAAUAGAACUAUACAAAAGAAUAAAGUUCAAGGGAGUUUGGAAACACUACGACUAAAGACACUUUAUUAGGCUCCCCCCACACUUAGGAGAAGCAUUGUCCUCAAUGAUUCAAAAUAAGAUAAAUGAAGAAGAAGAAGAAGAAGAAGAAGAAGAAGAAGAAGAAGAAGAAGAAGAAGAAGAAGA